Small nucleolar RNA from Sander lucioperca (pikeperch), 135 nucleotides. NCBI's taxonomy places the organism in Eukaryota, Metazoa, Chordata, Actinopteri, Perciformes, Percidae. The record is from Ensembl.
UCGGCCCUGAUCAAGACCAGCAGCUUGCAGUAGCUGUUGGUUUCAAAUGGUGCCUACAUAAAACUCCUUCCUGUGGUCUGUUGAUUUUUCCCAGAGUAACAAAGGGGCUAAUCUUUUCAGUUGGAAGGAACAAAA